CCUACGGGUGGCAGCAGUGAGGAAUAUUGGUCAAUGGGAGAGAUCCUGAACCAGCCAAGCCGCGUGAGGGAAGACGGCACUAUGGGUUGUAAACCUCUUUUGUCGGAGAACAAAACCCGGGACGUGUCCCGGACUGCGUGUAUCCGAAGAAAACGCAUAGUCUAACUCCGUGCCAGCAGCCGCGGUAAUACGGAGGAUGCGAGCGUUAUCCGGAUGUAUUGGGUUGAAAGGGUGCGUAGGCGGUCCGGUAAGUCAGCGGUAAAAGUGCGGGGCUCAACCCCGUCGAGCCGUUGAAACUGGCAGACUUGAGUUGGCGAGAAGUACGCGGAAUGCGCGUUGUAGCGGUGAAAUGCAUAGAUAUCGCGCAGAACUCCGAUUGCGAAGGCAGCGUACCGGCGCCAGACUGACGCUGAGGCACGAAAGCGUGGGGAUCGAACAGGAUUAGAUACCCUGGUAGUC
Molecule: ribosomal RNA, 459 nt
Filed under: uncultured bacterium
Lineage: Bacteria
Description: partial 16S ribosomal RNA
Rfam family: Bacterial small subunit ribosomal RNA
Source: RNAcentral